Brienomyrus brachyistius is the source of this 950-nucleotide long non-coding RNA. RefSeq lists it as uncharacterized. The record is from RefSeq and is a predicted model, not a curated record. NCBI's taxonomy places the organism in Eukaryota, Metazoa, Chordata, Actinopteri, Osteoglossiformes, Mormyridae. The transcript has 4 exons.
AUUACUUUUUGCAGUUUUCAGUAGAAUCCGGGUUCAGUUUUGGACAUCUUGUGAUUUUUUUUUAAACUAGCUUUAUAAGUAUUGUUAGUAUCAAUGAAAAAAAUCUUGCAUAUUCUUAAAAACCAUGGCAAGCACACAAAGGAGUACAAAGGCGAGAAAGAAAUUCAGCAGUGGGGAUCCUCAAGAUUCACUUUUUGCAAGAGCAUAAUAGCCGAUCUUCAUCCUGUAGUGAGCAGGCGGAUGGGACUUGCUGCUGCCUGUGGAAUUUCAUUGAUGUCUCUAUGCCCACAUCAUUACUCCAGACUCUGGGAGCUUCGUACAACUCAUCUUAUUAACUGCAGGGUCUGACAAAAUGCAGAGAUGUCACACUACGAAGGGGGGUCACCGGAUCCACUGCCAGGAUGGUCUGCUUAAUGGUCCCCAGGUCCAGUGGAAAAAACACCACGGGGAGAAAGGUUCAGAGCUAACGGCUGCUGACUGGAUGGGGGAGUCAGAACAAGGUGAGCAGGCAGAAGAUUCAGGAGUGGAGGAUUGUUGGAGGCAGAGGACAGGAAGCAAAGUAUGGGAAACAAGAGAUGAGGCCUGGGGUAUAGGAACAGAACAUUCUGGACACAAACUCAGAGAAGGUCUGGAUCUGAACUACCCACCUCUGCCCCUGAGACAGGACUGCUGCUAAUAACAAUAAUGAUGAAGGGAAAGUGGUUGGAAGAUGGAUGGAUGGAUUUAUAAUGACUGACCACCAGAGGGCACUACAGAUGACGUUUUAUAAUACAAAGUCGCUGUAUGAUAAAGAUGCUGUUUUCUUUUAAACCAGACAGGGGCAGCAUAUAUCUGCAUUGUGUUAAAGCUUCAUGGAACGAAGCCUUUUUUAGGGUAAUUCUUUAUAGGUUCUUUUAUAAUUCAAUUGCUUGCUGCUUAGGUUGUUGUCGGAAAAUUACAGUGUGCAUUCA